RNAcentral lists this unclassified non-coding RNA (348 nucleotides) under uncultured fungus. RNAcentral's name for it is "partial contains internal transcribed spacer 2 and large subunit ribosomal RNA". The record is from RNAcentral. Lineage: Eukaryota; Fungi.
AACGCACCUUGCACCCUCUCAUGGGGGGUAUACGUGUUUGAGAAUCGUAUAUGAAUCUUGUCUCUGGCUUGAGGCAGAAUUGAGUGCUGGUAAAAAGGCGCUUUAAAUGCAGUAGUGUAAUGCUGCGUUGGUCGCAUGGACACUGUGUGCUGGGACUGCUAGUCUACUCACGGUGCGUCCAUGCGGGGUGUGUGUGGUGUGCUCUGCGUGAGCCAUUCGCACUAGCCGACGUAGAGAGUGCGCUCAGUGUGUGUGUGGUGUGGUGCAUAUAUUAUAUUAUCAUCAUCACCACAUAUACAAUACACGAACACUGAUCUCAAAUCACGUAAGACUACCCGCUGAACUUAA